This 231-nucleotide ribosomal RNA is filed under the name Copepoda environmental sample. Its description in RNAcentral is "partial 18S ribosomal RNA". It matches the Rfam family "Eukaryotic small subunit ribosomal RNA", at positions 1205 to 1456 of the family's 1831-position model. Lineage: Eukaryota; Metazoa; Arthropoda; Copepoda. The record is from RNAcentral.
ACGGGAAAUCUCACCAGGCCCGGACACUGGCAGGAUUGACAGAUUGAGAGCUCUUUCUCGAUUCGGUGGGUGGUGGUGCAUGGCCGUUCUUAGUUGGUGGAGUGAUUUGUCUGGUUAAUUCCGAUAACGAACGAGACUCUGUCCUGCUAAAUAGUCCCACCGUCUCUUAUUGCGGUGGGAAUUCUUCUUAGAGGGACUGGCGGCAUCUAGUCGCACGAGAUUGAGCAAUAA